GACGAACGCUGUCGGCGUGCUUAACACAUGCAAGUCGAACGGAAAGGCCCUGCUUUUGUGGGGUGCUCGAGUGGCGAACGGGUGAGUAACACGUGAGUAACCUGCCCUUGACUUUGGGAUAACUUCAGGAAACUGGGGCUAAUACCGGAUAGGAGCUCCUGCUGCAUGGUGGGGGUUGGAAAGUUUCGGCGGUUGGGGAUGGACUCGCGGCUUAUCAGCUUGUUGGUGGGGUAGUGGCUUACCAAGGCUUUGACGGGUAGCCGGCCUGAGAGGGUGACCGGCCACAUUGGGACUGAGAUACGGCCCAGACCCCUACGGGAGGCAGCAGUGGGGAAUAUUGCACAAUGGGCGGAAGCCUGAUGCAGCAACGCCGCGUGCGGGAUGACGGCCUUCGGGUUGUAAACCGCUUUCGCCUGUGACGAAGCGUGAGUGACGGUAAUGGGUAAAGAAGCACCGGCUAACUACGUGCCAGCAGCCGCGGUGAUACGUAGGGUGCGAGCGUUGUCCGGAUUUAUUGGGCGUAAAGGGCUCGUAGGUGGUUGAUCGCGUCGGAAGUGUAAUCUUGGGGCUUAACCCUGAGCGUGCUUUCGAUACGGGUUGACUUGAGGAAGGUAGGGGAGAAUGGAAUUCCUGGUGGAGCGGUGGAAUGCGCAGAUAUCAGGAGGAACACCAGUGGCGAAGGCGGUUCUCUGGGCCUUUCCUGACGCUGAGGAGCGAAAGCGUGGGGAGCGAACAGGCUUAGAUACCCUGGUAGUCCACGCUGUAAACGGUGGGUACUAGGUGUGGGGUCCAUUCCACGGGUUCCGUGCCGUAGCUAACGCUUUAAGUACCCCGCCUGGGGAGUACGGCCGCAAGGCUAAAACUCAAAGGAAUUGACGGGGCCCCGCACAAGCGGCGGAGCAUGCGGAUUAAUUCGAUGCAACGCGUAGAACCUUACCUGGGUUUGACAUGGAUCGGGAGUGCUCAGAGAUGGGUGUGCCUCUUUUGGGGUCGGUUCACAGGUGGUGCAUGGCUGUCGUCAGCUCGUGUCGUGAGAUGUUGGGUUAAGUCCCGCAACGAGCGCAACCCUUGUUCACUGUUGCCAGCACGUUAUGGUGGGGACUCAGUGGAGACCGCCGGGGUCAACUCGGAGGAAGGUGGGGAUGACGUCAAGUCAUCAUGCCCCUUAUGUCCAGGGCUUCACGCAUGCUACAAUGGCUGGUACAGAGAGUGGCGAGCCUGUGAGGGUGAGCGAAUCUCGGAAAGCCGGUCUCAGUUCGGAUUGGGGUCUGCAACUCGACCUCAUGAAGUCGGAGUCGCUAGUAAUCGCAGAUCAGCAACGCUGCGGUGAAUACGUUCCCGGG
Molecule: ribosomal RNA, 1343 nt
Filed under: uncultured bacterium
Lineage: Bacteria
Description: 16S ribosomal RNA
Rfam family: Bacterial small subunit ribosomal RNA
Source: RNAcentral